This 889-nucleotide ribosomal RNA is filed under the name uncultured bacterium. Its description in RNAcentral is "bacterial SSU rRNA". It matches the Rfam family "Bacterial small subunit ribosomal RNA", at positions 28 to 896 of the family's 1533-position model. The record is from RNAcentral.
AACGAACGUUAGCGGCGCGCCUAACACAUGCAAGUCGCACGAGAAAGGGCUUCGGCCCCGGUAAAGUGGCGCACGGGUGAGUAACACGUAGGUAAUCUUCCCUCGAGUGGUGGAUAACCCUCCGAAAGGAGGGCUAAUACAGCAUGAGACCACGGCUUCUCCGGAAGCUGAGGCCAAAGCGGGCCUCUUAAUUAAAGCUCGCGCUUGAGGAUGAGCCUGCGGCCCAUCAGCUAGUUGGCGGUGUAACGGACCACCAAGGCAAAGACGGGUAGCUGGUCUGAGAGGAUGAACAGCCACACUGGAACUGAGACACGGUCCAGACUCCUACGGGAGGCAGCAGUGGGGAAUCUUGCGCAAUGGGCGAAAGCCUGACGCAGCGACGCCGCGUGAGUGAUGAAGGCCCUCGGGUUGUAAAGCUCUGUGGGGAGAGACGAAUAAGGGCCGGCUAAUACCCGGCUCGAUGACGGUAUCUCCUUAGCAAGCACCGGCUAACUCUGUGCCAGCAGCCGCGGUAAGACAGAGGGUGCAAACGUUGUUCGGAAUUACUGGGCGUAAAGCGCGUGUAGGCGGCAGGGUGUGUCGGAUGUGAAAUCCCGUGGCUCAACCACGGAAGUGCACCCGAAACUACCCAGCUCGAGUCUCGGAGAGGAAGGUGGAAUGCUUGGUGUAGAGGUGAAAUUCGUAGAUAUCAAGCGGAACACCGGUGGCGAAGGCGGCCUUCUGGACGAUGACUGACGCUGAGACGCGAAAGCGUGGGGAGCAAACAGGAUUAGACACCCUGGUAGUCCACGCCGUAAACGAUGAGUGCUAGGUGUCACGGGCUUUGACCCCUGUGGUGCCGUAGCUAACGCAGUAAGCACUCCGCCUGGGGAGUACGGCCGCAAGGCUA